AAAAAGAAAAAGAAAAAGAAAAUUGAAAGCUAUAAUUAUUUCUGAUGGAACUUUGUAAAAUGACACCUUAAUAUCAUGAUUUAAUUUGAACUUUUAAUUUGUUUUAUUUUUUGCUUUUAUUUUAUUCAUAGUGAUUUGUGAGGAGAUGCUUGUUGUUUUUGCUGCACUUGUGCUUCUUGAAGUUGAGCUAACUAGGCUUUGUAAUUUCUGAUCAUGAAUGGUUGGAUCGCUUGAUAUUUUUUAAAAGGAUAUUAGGUUGUGCUGCUUUACUUUGAGAGGGCAAGGUGAAUUACCAAUUUCUAUCAAGGGUAGGGUUUACUUGGGAUGGAUUUGAUUAUGUUAUUUGUAUUGUUACUUUUCCCAUUAAAUUAUAAUUGGCAAACUUUCCAUUUCUUGCUACAGUUGUCAUCUCUAUGGAAAUUCA
Molecule: unclassified non-coding RNA, 424 nt
Filed under: Hevea brasiliensis (rubber tree)
Lineage: Eukaryota; Viridiplantae; Streptophyta; Magnoliopsida; Malpighiales; Euphorbiaceae
Source: RNAcentral